AACUAACGCUGGCGGCGUGCCUAACACAUGCAAGUCGUACGAGAAAGCCGGCUUCGGCUGGUGAGUAAAGUGGCGCACGGGUGAGUAACGCGUGGAUAAUCUGCCCUUAAGUGUGGAAUAACGUACCGAAAGGUGCGCUAAUACCGCAUAAUGCCUGGCAACACAAGUUGUCCGGCCAAAGAAGGCCUCUGUUUACAAGCUUUCGCUUCAGGAUGAGUCCGCGUACCAUUAGCUUGUUGGUGGGGUAAUGGCCUACCAAGGCUGCGAUGGUUAGCUGGUCUGAGAGGAUGAUCAGCCACACUGGAACUGAGACACGGUCCAGACUCCUACGGGAGGCAGCAGUGAGGAAUAGUUGCGCAAUGGGGGCAACCCUGACGCAGCAACGCCGCGUGAGUGAGGAAGGUUUUCGGACUGUAAAGCUCUGUCGAGCGGGAAGAAGUGUACCAUGGCUAAUAUCCAUGAUAUUUGACGGUUACCGCUAGAGG
RNAcentral lists this ribosomal RNA (485 nucleotides) under uncultured bacterium. RNAcentral's name for it is "bacterial SSU rRNA". It matches the Rfam family "Bacterial small subunit ribosomal RNA", at positions 29 to 487 of the family's 1533-position model. The record is from RNAcentral.